UUUAUUUGCUAAAUAAACGGACAACUGUCGAAAAAGAGUUGUCUAUUAAAAGGUGGGUCAAACGGCGUUCCGUAAUACACUGUACUGAACCAUUCAAAUGACGUCUAGUGAAAAUCAACCUUCAAACAAUCGUGUGUAUCGUGAAAAUGAGUGUCCCUCAGGCUAACGGGAACUUUGCGAACACAGGGAGCCGUUGAAUGCCCUAAUUUGCUGAAUUUAUUGCCACUAGAUUGCAGUGCAGGAUAAAUCAUCUUCAAAAGUAUUCGAAGUGGUUAGCUAUCCACCAUUCCAUUUCAUGAGGGAAGUUUCACUUAUUCCGAAACGAAACUUGAUGUCCAUUUUCAGCUGGCUUGUUGUGACACAAGCAUAAUAGAUACGCCGUUAUGACAACGAAAUUUCCGAAAAAUGAGACGUCCGAAAGCACAAAAAUCAAGACCGGAAACCAAUCUAAUUGACUUCCUUGUGCCUAGUGUUUCUGGCCAUCUGGUUGCAAUAGUUUCCAAGACUACCUUAUGUGCAACUCUUUCAGCGCCUCCUUUGGAGAUAACUGUCAUUACUAGUUUGCUAAAAAGUUAAGUUUUUCAUAGACUCUAAACUAGGUGAUCUUAAUCUUAAAUAAUAGGAUUCACAGCUCUGUAUAUAUUUCUAUUUGCCAUAUCGCAUAGAUCUCUACAUAACUUCAA
Long non-coding RNA from Daphnia magna, 683 nucleotides. RefSeq lists it as uncharacterized. NCBI's taxonomy places the organism in Eukaryota, Metazoa, Arthropoda, Branchiopoda, Diplostraca, Daphniidae. The transcript is spliced from 3 exons. The record is from RefSeq and is a predicted model, not a curated record.